This 640-nucleotide ribosomal RNA is filed under the name Talaromyces sp. Its description in RNAcentral is "partial large subunit ribosomal RNA". It matches the Rfam family "Eukaryotic large subunit ribosomal RNA", at positions 121 to 774 of the family's 3401-position model. The record is from RNAcentral. Lineage: Eukaryota; Fungi; Ascomycota; Eurotiomycetes; Eurotiales; Trichocomaceae.
UCUGGCCCCCUCCGGGGUCCGAGUUGUAAUUUGGAGAGGAUGCUUCGGGUGCGGUCCCCGUCUAAGUGCCCUGGAACGGGCCGUCAUAGAGGGUGAGAAUCCCGUCUGGGAUGGGCGGCCGCGCCCGUGUGAAGCUCCUUCGACGAGUCGAGUUGUUUGGGAAUGCAGCUCUAAGCGGGUGGUAAAUUUCAUCUAAAGCUAAAUACUGGCCGGAGACCGAUAGCGCACAAGUAGAGUGAUCGAAAGAUGAAAAGCACUUUGAAAAGAGAGUUAAACAGCACGUGAAAUUGUUGAAAGGGAAGCGUUGGCCACCAGACGCGCCCGGGGGGGUUCAGCCGGCACUCGUGCCGGUGCACUCCCUCCCGGGUGGGCCAGCAUCGGUUUGGGCGGUCGCUGAAAGGCCCGAGGAAUGUAGCACCCUCCGGGGUGCCUUAUAGCCUCGGGUGUCAUGCGGCCCGCCUGGACCGAGGCCCGCGCUUCGGCGAGGAUGCUGGCGUAAUGGUGGUCAACGGCCCGUCUUGAAACACGGACCAAGGAGUCUAACAUCUAUGCGAGUGUUCGGGUGUCAAACCCGUCCGCGCAGUGAAAGCGAACGCAGGUGGGAACCCCCCUCCGGGGGCGCACCAUCGACCGAUCCUGA